This 332-nucleotide ribosomal RNA is filed under the name uncultured bacterium. RNAcentral's name for it is "bacterial SSU rRNA". It matches the Rfam family "Bacterial small subunit ribosomal RNA", at positions 568 to 898 of the family's 1533-position model. The record is from RNAcentral.
CGUGUAGGCGGUUUGUUAAGUCUGAUGUGAAAGCCCCGGGCUCAACCUGGGAAGUGCAUUGGAUACUGGCAGACUUGAAUACGGGAGAGGGUAGUGGAAUUCCUGGUGUAGGAGUGAAAUCCGUAGAUAUCAGGAGGAACACCGGUGGCGAAGGCGGCUACCUGGACCGAUAUUGACGCUGAGACGCGAAAGCGUGGGGAGCAAACAGGAUUAGAUACCCUGGUAGUCCACGCCGUAAACGAUGAGUACUAGGUGUUGCGGGUAUUGACUCCUGCAGUGCCGCAGCUAACGCAUUAAGUACUCCGCCUGGGAAGUACGGUCGCAAGACUAAA